GACGUAGGGCGCGAGCGUUGUCCGGAUUUAUUGGGCGUAAAGAGCUCGUAGGCGGCUCAUUGCGUCAACCGUGAAAACCUGCCGCUCAACGGUAGGCUUGCGGUUGAUACGGGUGGGCUGGAGUUCGGUAGGGGAGACUGGAAUUCCUGGUGUAGCGGUGAAAUGCGCAGAUAUCAGGAGGAACACCGGUGGCGAAGGCGGUCUCUGGCGAUUACCUGACGCUGAGGAGCGAAAGUGUGGGGAGCGAACAGG
RNAcentral lists this ribosomal RNA (252 nucleotides) under uncultured bacterium. Its description in RNAcentral is "partial 16S ribosomal RNA". It matches the Rfam family "Bacterial small subunit ribosomal RNA", at positions 524 to 776 of the family's 1533-position model. The record is from RNAcentral.